Molecule: non-coding RNA, 30 nt
Filed under: Mus musculus (house mouse)
Lineage: Eukaryota; Metazoa; Chordata; Mammalia; Rodentia; Muridae
Source: RNAcentral
UGGCAUUUGCACUGGGAUAUUCUCCUUGCC